GGUUUAAUUCGAAGCAACGCGAAGAACCUUACCAAAUCUUGACAUCCUUUGACAACUCUAGAGAUAGAGCUUUCCCCUUCGGGGGACAAAGUGACAGGUGGUGCAUGGUUGUCGUCAGCUCGUGUCGUGAGAUGUUGGGUUAAGUCCCGCAACGAGCGCAACCCUUAAGCUUAGUUGCCAUCAUUAAGUUGGGCACUUCUAAGUUGACUGCCGGUGACAAACCGGA
Molecule: ribosomal RNA, 226 nt
Filed under: uncultured bacterium
Lineage: Bacteria
Description: partial 16S ribosomal RNA
Rfam family: Bacterial small subunit ribosomal RNA
Source: RNAcentral